GAUGAACGCUAGCGGAAGGCUUAAUACAUGCAAGUCGAGCGGUAGGUGGCUUCGGCCAUUGAGAGCGGCGCACGGGUGAGUAACGCGUACAUGACCUGCCUGUCAGAAGGGGAUAGCCCUGGGAAACUGGGAUUAAUACCCUAUGGUAUUGAUAUUAUGAAUGAUAUCAAUUAAAGUUGAGGCGCUGACAGAUGGAUGUGCGUCUGAUUAGCUAGUUGGUAGGUAACGGCCUACCAAGGCGACGAUCAGUAGGGGGCGUGAGAGCGUGGUCCCCCACACGGGUACUGAGACACGGACCCGACUCCUACGGGAGGCAGCAGUAAGGAAUAUUGGUCAAUGCCCGCAAGGGUGAACCAGCCAUUCCGCGUGGAGGAUGAAGGCCCUAUGGGUUGUAAACUUCUUUUAGAUGGGAAGAAAAUGCUAGAUGUAUCUGGUACUGACGGUACCAUCAGAAUAAGCACCGGCUAACUCCGUGCCAGCAGCCGCGGUAAU
Molecule: ribosomal RNA, 492 nt
Filed under: uncultured bacterium
Lineage: Bacteria
Description: bacterial SSU rRNA
Rfam family: Bacterial small subunit ribosomal RNA
Source: RNAcentral